AAAACAGACCAUGCAAACACAGCCUCCUAAUCCUUCUGAGAAGUUACCACAGGAAUAACUGGCUUGUGGCAGCCAAGCGUUCAUAGCAAGGUCACUUUUUGAUCCUUCGAUGUCGGCUUUUCCUAUCAUUGUGAAGCAGAAUUCACCAGGUGUUGGAUUAUUCCCCCACUCAUGGGGAACGUAAGCUGGGUUUAGACCGUUGUGAGACAGAUUAGUUUUACCCUACUGAUGAUGUGUUGUUGCCAUGGUAAUCCUGCUCAGUAUGAGAGGAACCGCACAUUCAGACAUUUGGUGUAUGUGCUUGGCUGAGGACCCAGUGGGGCACAGCUACCAUCUGUGGCAGGGGUCCUCAAACUUUUUAAACAGGGGGCCAGUUCACUGUCCCUCAGACCAUUAGAGGGCCGGACUACCGGCCCCAGGAUGAAUCAACUGCUAAGCAGGACAGGCAGUGGCAGCAAAAACAUCCGGCGGGCUGGAUAAAUGUCCUAGACGGGCUGCAUGUGGCCCGCAGCCUGUAGUUUGAGGACACCUGAUCUGUGGGAUUAUGACUGAACACCUCUAAGUCAGAAUUCCACCUAGGUGGAACAAUACAGCA
RNAcentral lists this non-coding RNA (595 nucleotides) under Otolemur garnettii (small-eared galago). RNAcentral describes it as "Eukaryotic large subunit ribosomal RNA". It matches the Rfam family "Eukaryotic large subunit ribosomal RNA", at positions 2742 to 3168 of the family's 3401-position model. The record is from Rfam by way of RNAcentral. Lineage: Eukaryota; Metazoa; Chordata; Mammalia; Primates; Galagidae.